AUGCUCUGCCCCAUCUUAAGUGUUUUAACCCCUGAUCACUGAUUCGAUGCCCUGCCCGAUUGAUCUUGAACCCAACAACUGAUGCCAAAGCGCUGCCUGAUAAAGGCUAUUCUUUGUAAACUAAGUUGGGGUUCUGUCUCGGGAUGUAUUGAUAAAGUUGAAUUGGGUUAUUACACUAAACACGAGUGCAUUAUAUAUUUUAUUAAAUAGCUCUGGAGUUAUACCCAAGAUUAUACCAGGAGGCUUUUAGCUGAACCCUAAAGUUACAAACUGAGUCCUUCUCUUUUUCUCACCGUUUGUAAAACAUUAUUUAAAAUGCUUUACAAAACCCUAAAUGUUUAUUAGUUAUACUUACAGUGAUUAAGUUUUUGUAUUCUGCAAUUACUAUCGGUAUGUGGGGUUUUAACUGGGUUCAAGAUUAAAGGGGUUAAGUUAAAACACAUAUAUUAUUAAUGUAUUUCUAUAAAGACUGGUUAUGAAUAUAUU
Molecule: long non-coding RNA, 486 nt
Filed under: Helianthus annuus (common sunflower)
Lineage: Eukaryota; Viridiplantae; Streptophyta; Magnoliopsida; Asterales; Asteraceae
Description: hypothetical non coding rna
Source: RNAcentral